RNAcentral lists this ribosomal RNA (491 nucleotides) under uncultured bacterium. RNAcentral describes it as "partial 16S ribosomal RNA". It matches the Rfam family "Bacterial small subunit ribosomal RNA", at positions 28 to 507 of the family's 1533-position model. The record is from RNAcentral.
GAUGAACGCUGGCUACAGGCUUAACACAUGCAAGUCGAGGGGAAACGACGGGGAAGCUUGCUUCCCCGGGCGUCGACCGGCGCACGGGUGAGUAACGCGUAUCCAACCUGCCUCUGACUGAGGGAUAACCCGUCGAAAGUCGGCCUAAUACCUCAUGGUAUCGUCUGCGGGCAUCCAACGACGAUUAAAGAUUUCAUCGGUCAGGGAUGGGGAUGCGUCUGAUUAGCUUGUUGGCGGGGUAACGGCCCACCAAGGCUACGAUCAGUAGGGGUUCUGAGAAGAAGGUCCCCCACAUUGGAACUGAGACACGGUCCAAACUCCUACGGGAGGCAGCAGUGAGGAAUAUUGGUCAAUGGGCGAGAGCCUGAACCAGCCAAGUAGCGUGCAGGAAGACGGCCCUAUGGGUUGUAAACUGCUUUUAUGCGGGGAUAAAGUGAGGGACGUGUCCCUCAUUGCAGGUACCGCAUGAAUAAGGACCGGCUAAUUCCGUG